AUUGAACGCUGGCGGCAUGCCUUACACAUGCAAGUCGAACGGCAGCACGGGAGCAAUCCUGGUGGCGAGUGGCGAACGGGUGAGUAAUAUAUCGGGAACGUGCCCAGUCGUGGGGGAUAACGUAGCGAAAGCUACGCUAAUACCGCAUACGAUCUAUGGAUGAAAGCGGGGGAUCGCAAGACCUCGCGCGAUUGGAGCGGCCGAUAUCAGAUUAGGUAGUUGGUGAGGUAAAGGCUCACCAAGCCGACGAUCUGUAGCUGGUCUGAGAGGACGACCAGCCACACUGGGACUGAGACACGGCCCAGACUCCUACGGGAGGCAGCAGUGGGGAAUUUUGGACAAUGGGCGCAAGCCUGAUCCAGCAAUGCCGCGUGCAGGAUGAAGGCCUUCGGGUUGUAAACUGCUUUUGUACGGAACGAAACGGUGAGCUCUAAUACAGUUUGCUAAUGACGGUACCGUAAGAAUAAGCACCGGCUAACUACGUG
This 485-nucleotide ribosomal RNA is filed under the name uncultured bacterium. RNAcentral describes it as "bacterial SSU rRNA". It matches the Rfam family "Bacterial small subunit ribosomal RNA", at positions 30 to 507 of the family's 1533-position model. The record is from RNAcentral.